GGAAGCGUGGCCGAGCGGUUUAAGGCGCUGGUCUUGAAAAUCAGUGAUGGGCAACCAUCCGUGAGUUCGAAUCUCACCGCUUCCGCCA
This 88-nucleotide transfer RNA is filed under the name Deltaproteobacteria bacterium. RNAcentral describes it as "tRNA-Ser". It matches the Rfam family "tRNA". From Rfam's summary of the family: Transfer RNA (tRNA) molecules are approximately 80 nucleotides in length. Their secondary structure includes four short double-helical elements and three loops (D, anti-codon, and T loops). The record is from RNAcentral. Lineage: Bacteria; Pseudomonadati; Myxococcota; Myxococcia.